AGCAGUCGCGCCCACCACAACUA
This 23-nucleotide non-coding RNA is filed under the name Arabidopsis thaliana (thale cress). The record is from RNAcentral. Lineage: Eukaryota; Viridiplantae; Streptophyta; Magnoliopsida; Brassicales; Brassicaceae.